GUCCUUUUGAAUAUGAUUUAAGGUCUGUCCUGCCCAAUGAUUUUUAAAUGGCCGCAGUAUUUUGACUGUGCAAAGGUAGCAUAAUCAUUAGUUUCUUAAUUGGAAGCUGGUAUGAACGGAUUGAUGAGAAAUUAUCUGUCUCUGCUUAAUUUUUAGAAUUUUAUUUUUGAGUGAGAAAGCUUAAAUUUAGUUAAAAGACGAGAAGACCCUAUAGAGUUUUAUUAAAUAAAAAUUUGUUUAUUAGGUUUAAAAUAAAUUUUUUAUUAAUUUGGUUGGGGUGAUUAAUAAAUUUAGUUAACUUUAUUUUAUUUGGACUUUUAUUUUAGGAUACUUGAUCCUUUGUUUUGGAUUAUAAGAUUAAAUUACCUUAGGGAUAACAGCGUUAUCUUUCCUUAGAGUUCUUAUUGAUGGAAAGGUUUGCGACCUCGAUGUUGGAUUAAAAUUAAAUUGUGGUGCAGUAGCUGCAAUAUUGGGUCUGUUCGACCUUUAAAAUUUUACGUGAUCUGAGUUCC
This 512-nucleotide ribosomal RNA is filed under the name Coleoptera sp. BAH_28362_E01. RNAcentral describes it as "partial 16S ribosomal RNA". It matches the Rfam family "Bacterial large subunit ribosomal RNA", at positions 1825 to 2613 of the family's 2925-position model. The record is from RNAcentral. Lineage: Eukaryota; Metazoa; Arthropoda; Insecta; Coleoptera.